This 73-nucleotide transfer RNA is filed under the name Sus scrofa (pig). It matches the Rfam family "tRNA". Rfam says of the family: Transfer RNA (tRNA) molecules are approximately 80 nucleotides in length. Their secondary structure includes four short double-helical elements and three loops (D, anti-codon, and T loops). The record is from Rfam by way of RNAcentral. Lineage: Eukaryota; Metazoa; Chordata; Mammalia; Artiodactyla; Suidae.
UCCCUUGUGGUCUUGUGGUUAAGGACUCAGCAUUGCCACUGCUGUGGCUCGGGUUUGAUCCCUGGCCUAGGAG